RNAcentral lists this transfer RNA (77 nucleotides) under Opitutaceae bacterium BACL24 MAG-120322-bin51. Its description in RNAcentral is "tRNA-Asp". It matches the Rfam family "tRNA". Rfam says of the family: Transfer RNA (tRNA) molecules are approximately 80 nucleotides in length. Lineage: Bacteria; Pseudomonadati; Verrucomicrobiota; Opitutia; Opitutales; Opitutaceae. The record is from RNAcentral.
GGGGUAGUAGCUCAGUUGGUUAGAGCGCCUGCCUGUCACGCAGGAGGUCGCGGGUUCAAAUCCCGUCUAUCCCGCCA